AUUAGUCUAAACUUUCUUCUAGGAAGAGUCCAUGAUUUUAUUUUUAGGCCAACUUAAGUCCCUAUGGCUUUAUGACAUUUGUCAACAGCAAAAGAGAUACCUUAAAACCGUCACAUAAGUCAAUGAAAAGAAAACCAGAGCUGGGGAAUAGCUUAGUGGUAGAGUACUUGCUUAAUAUGCCUAAUGUCAUGAAGAACAAUGUCUUAGAACAAUUUAAAAAUGGUAUUUCACUGAAUUGAAAAUUAUUUACAGGAGAAUUUAAAAGAUAGAAUUUUUUUCUGGGUUGUAUUGCCAUUCCUAUUCUCAUGUUACCAUUUCUUUAAAAAUGACCUCAGUAGUAACCAAGCUGUUAUAUUGUGUAUCUGGAGCAGAUGGUCAAGUACAGGGGCACCUGGGUUGCUGGCACUGCUGCAUCUAUGUUAGUAACAUCUGGUUCAAAGCUGAGCCACCUCAGAAUCUACAGGUUUCUCUGAGUUCUGGGCAUAAUUGAGAACCAGCCAGUUUGUCAAGAGAUCCCAUUCAACUGUCAAUAUGAUGGGGCAAGCAGUGAUGGUUGACAGCUGAUAUCGCACCAUCCCUUCAUCCCCCUAAUUCAGACCCUUUGAAGGGUCUAAGAAAGCCAUACUGUGGGAGGAAAGGAGAUAUGACUACUGCACCGACCAGUAACACAACAGUGAUUCCUAUAAAACAUAAGGAUGAUAUAUGGUGCCCUACAUAUCACUUUGAAUUUCAGAAAAAUAGAAUUUUCUUUAAAGUACAAUCAUUUUUUACAUGAAGUACUCAAAUUUUUAUACCUGAACAAUUGAUUUCUGAAAAAAAUGACAUUCAUUCUAUAAAUUAAAGUAUCAAGAAAAUUCCCACAGAUUCACAGAACCAAUCAUGUGAUCUUCAAAAACUGCUACUCCAUUCUUCCUUAUCUCAAGUUAUGAAGACUUGCCCACAGGAAGUUUCUUUGUUGGAACCCUGCUCCUCUUGGGAUGAAGUGUUUAAGGAUAUUGUGGUCUUGUCAGAUGCCAGAUCCAUCUGGUCCUGAAGCAGGAAAAACUCUCUGAAGGUUAAGGUGAACUAGUAACACUACUGACAGUCACCGUGGAGUUGACUUUGAACAUGGAUAUUUAUACAUGUACAUGUAAAUAUACUUAAAACCAUACUGUCAUUCAACAGUUGGGCCAAUAUAUAACAUGUUGCAAAAAUCAGGAUAGAGUACAUGGCAAACAAACCUUUACAGUAUGAAAGGAUGAAGAAUUUGAUGAUUCUGGACUUUUUUGUAGUCUGGGAACCUAUAUAUUUAAAACAAAACCAAAGGAAACAAAACAAAAUAAGAAAGCAUUCUGUAAACUUCCUGUGAUUUAGGCACAAAAGCAGUUUCAUUGCCUUUAUUAAAUGCUAAGACCACUUUUAUUAAGGAUUGUUGCAGAAGGGUAUUUGUUGAAAUACAUCAAGAAAUGUAUAAAUUUACAUGGAUUAUAUGGAUGUUUACUUGCUAUGCCUAAUGACAAGAAGUCAUUUCCUAUAUGCCUCUAUAAUAUUUACUCACUAGAAAAUUUUGUUAGGAAUGGAAACUUAUUAGUUAAAAAGUUUUCAAUAUUGUAAAUAAUUGAGAAUAACUGUGCUAUAAGAUGAAUCUUUGCAAAAAUAUUUUCAUUACACAGAAUCAAAUACACAUUUAAAAUUGUUAUAAUGAGAAUUAGACAAUCCAUGGAUGAAUUCAGUACACUAAUGGAAGGUACACAUAUGACCUUGCUGACCCAGAACAGUCACAAAUUCUUCUGAGUAAACCCUGGAUUUUUAAAUACUACAUAAUUUAAGUCAGUUGUUACCAAGACAAAUAUAAAUAGCAAAAUAUAAUAAUGAUAAAUCUUCAGAAAGGCUACAACAUGGCCCAUAGCUUAAGUCAGAGUUUGACACCUGGAACAAAGAGCCCUCAGCCAGCUUUGCAAGGACUACAUUUAAAGAACAAUUAUUUUCACAUAAUUCCUCAGUGCUGCCUCUAUCAUAGACUGAAUUGGAUCCAUAUAUCUCUACGUUCCAAUAAAAUAUUAGAAGGGAACAUUCCAGUUACCUCACUUAAUUAUGCAAUUCAAAGUAAGUUCUUGAAAUUACUUUCCUAUCCAAUCUUUAUUGUUAUAAUCUUGCUCUGAACAUUUAAAUUAAAUAAUCGUUUCCUUUCAUAGUCACUACUGGAUAACAUUUCACACACUGAUUUAAGCAGCAUGUUGACCUAAUUUAGCAUUGCAUAUUAUCAAAUUUCAUGUUUUCAAAUAAAUAAAUAUAUGUAGUAUAAUAUAGUGAGAGAGACAGUACUUUUCUUCAGAUCUGUCAUCUGAUUCUUAGGGGACACUCUUAUAGAUAAAACUUCCAGUUUUAUAGAUCAAAAAUGGCCAGAUAUUGGGAAUUGUCUUUGGAAAAUUUUUCGGGGGGUGGAGGGAUUUUACUGUGUAACUAUAAGAAAAGCCACAGGGGAUGCUUUGGUCUGGAAGAAUCAUGCCUAUUCCUAACCUACAGUAGAGAACGACACACAUCCACUAUUUAGGUAACAAUACAAUUAUUAACAUGAAAUACAAUUCUUUGAAAAGCUUUUAUGAUACUCUAAAUCACCUUAUACAGGAUAUCAGAACCAAUAAAUAUGAAUCUUAUGCAGAUAAAAGGCAGCCAGUGAAACAAAAUCUUUUAUCAGUAUUUGGUCAAGUGGUUGGUUUUGUGGUAAAUUAAGUAAGUUCUACAGAGAGCAUACAAACCAAGUUUUCUAGGGUAGUUCAUCGAAGAAUGAAGUUUUCAACUAGCAUCAAAUUUGAUUUGAUGGGAAGGUCAAUCUAAGCUUUUAAGCAAGAACAUGGAAAAACAAUUAGUUAUUUACAAUUAGAAAACAAGUAUUAGUUUUUCAGUAAUGGAUUAAGAUAAAACAUAACUGAAACAGACAAAAAACAAAAUAGCUCCAACACUUAAAAUUACAACUCUCCCUGUAAAAAUUCCUAACACAAAAAUCAUAAACAAAACUGCAGAAUAUAAGACGUACAAAUUACAUAUAAAUUCAACAAAUCCUUAUUUGUCUCAACUUUAAUGAGUUAUAGGUCUUGCUAUCUUUGGUUAUUAUGCCUGAUUAUCGUUUUCAUUAUACAUUUUACAAUAAACAAAAUGAGCUCUUGCAGCUCAUAGAAUUUCACUGUUAUCACCAGUUCAAUUCUUAGAUGUCUCUAAUUAUGUAAGUGAAGAUCAGACUUAACAAAACCUAAGUCACUUUCAGACGUGGAUGAACAAAGGACAGAUGUUAUAUAACCAAUUAUCAGAAUUAGUAGAGGCAGAAAACACCUCCCUUCUGCACUCUAACCAUACACGAAUUUAAGUGCUAUUAUAUAAGCAGGCACUACAUCUUGGAUAUUGGGUGAGGAAGACCUUUCCCAGGCAAUUCCCAAUUUUCUGUCUCAACUCUUCAAGGAAGUAAGAAAUAUAUCAUGUGCUAGAAGACAGGCAUAAAAAUAUUCUUGCCUAAAAGAAACAAUUACUGGCUUCUUUAUCUCUGGAAUGUUUUAAUGACAAUAACCAUCAACCCAAACUUUUUGGCUUUCAGUAAUCUUCCUAAAUUAGGAAUAAACAAGUCUAGUUCACGUUUUGACUAUCAGAUUUAUCGUUUUGGCAAAUUUACCCACUUGAAAAAAAAUCCUCUUAAGACCUUCCAAUAAUUACUUUCAAAAUUUCCAGGUUUCUCAGUUAAACAAAAAUGCUGCUUAGGAUAUUAAACAAUCAUAAAUACACACGCAUUAUGCAAUUGCCUGUUUAUUUAGUGGCACCAGUUUUGCAAACUAGAAAUUAUUUCUACUUUUCAUCUCACAUACAAUCUGCAACCAUUCAUAGGCUGAAUGCAAUUUCUUCAAAGGACUUGAAAACAAAAGUACAUUCUUAAAGUUAAAACUGAAUUCACAUAUUUCUUUGGAUCAGAAAAUGAUACAUCAUACAAUAUACACAUUUAUGGAUUUUUCUUUGAAAGUUUGGAUCAUAUAACCUGCAAAGUGGAUGAGUUAAUGUGGAGAAUUUUGCUACACAUUGUGUUUAAGAAAAUUUCUGCAGUUAGUUGUCAUAGUCUUAUAUUUAGAGAUUUUAAACAAUCUAUAUAAAAUUCAACAUGCUUUUAACAUGUACAUGUCUUCCCCCUCAAAACAAUUAUACAAUGAAGUGAAAUUAUUUCAGUUGUAAAACAGAUCAUAACUGGGAUAUUGUCACUAAAAGAUGAUAUUUUCCUACAGAUAACAUGUUCAGUUAGUCAAUGACCAACUAGGUAAGAUAACAGUUACUACAUUUCAGAAGUCCCCAAAAUGCUAGGGCUACAGCUCAGUGGUAGACCACUUGCCUGUCAUAUACAAGGCCCUGGGUUUGAUCCCUAGCCCUGUCAAAGGGGGAGGGGAAAUUCCAAAAAUGGACAAUAAAAACUGUAACUGAACAUUCAAUUUUUCAACAAGUGUCAACAAUUUCAUAAAAUUUUUUAUUGUAAUUAUUUUUUUAAAAUCUUAUUAAUGUAUACAUUGGUGGCUAUUCAUGUUAGAUCCUGUUUUUAACAUUUUGUAUUAAGUCCUUAAUUCCUUAGAAUCUGAAAUGAAUUUAACAUUUAAUGAACUCUAAUGCAAGAAAAAUCAAAUCUUAAAACCUGAGUAAGACAUGACAGCUAUUGUGUUGUUAAUAUAUUACAGCUGCACUGGGGAGGUUCAGAAAACUUUAGAUACACUCAAUUUCCAUUUUACCUUUCUGUUGAAUUUCAAAAGUGGCAAAUCUUAAGAGAUAUUAUUCUCAAAAGUAAUCCAAAUGUGAUUUUUUCAUCUCUAACUCUUUUCGCUGAAAGUCUUUCAAUAUCAGAUUCAAACCAUGCCCCAUCCACCUUAUUUGCUAUUUUCAAAGUAAAACAAUUCCUUAAAAUAGACUCAAGUUAUAUUUACAUCCUUGGAAUAUUUUUAUGGACUAUGCAGGAGAAAAAAUGAUUUCCUAUUAUUCUGUAAUUUGGAAUCUUAAUUGGGGUUGAGGAGUAAUGAACCACUGCAACAUUAUAAUUUUUAGGGAGUUUCCCCAUGAUUCAUCUGUCUCAAAGGGACAACAACUCCCAAAAAGUUAAGAACCAUUACUAAAAUGAAUUUCUGUCACUCAUUGUACCGAGUUAGGACAGUACUAAUUCUGUAACUACUCAAUCUUACACAUAAUCUAGCUUACUUCAGAAAGUACCAUACAAAUGCAAAUAUCCCUAAACACUUUUUUACUAGGAGGACUAUGUAAAAGGAAAAGAAAAAUUUUCUAAACAUUUAAUGAAAAACCCAUUAGUAGAAAACUGGUUUUAGGAACAAUGAAAAGAACUGAAGGGCUGUUUUAACGUAAAGAAAUACUGCAUGUUAUUCUGCGUUAAAGAAUCAGCAACUUUUACCUUCAUCUUCCUUUAAAAAGUCAAAAUUAUUCUAGCAGUGAAAGGUGAUUCUUGGUGGCUUAUGUGGCAUUAUUGGUUUUUUUUUUUUUUAAACAUCUACAGCCAGGUCAAGGUUCUUAUCACUCUAUCCCAAGUUUUCUUAUUUUCAACCCAGUUUAAUAAAGUACUAACUGGCCUUAAUGAGGUAAUGAGUUUAAACUUUCUUGUUCAAGAAAAUGGAAUUGGCCUAUUUGGAUGAGGGGCAGGGAAAAAUGGGGGUGGUGGUAGUGAGAGAGAGACACAGACAGACACACUGAGAGGAAAUGAGGGCAAUAUUUUCAUGCAAGAUAAGAAAAAAUGUCACUUUUUUAUUAAACAACCUUUUCCCCCCUCUCAUAAAAGUGUAAGCUGUCAACUGCAAUCUGAAUCUGAGUUUUUCUAAUUAGCACCCCCAUCCACUAGUUAAUAUAAAUAGGAAACCAUGAGAGCAGAGGCCACUAGCUUAAUAUAUAAAAUAGAUUAAAGGAAGAGUUUGUAUUGAGGUGAACAAAAGUGGAAAUGCUCACUUGACAAUAAAGCAGAGCCAAUGCCUCUCCUUAUUUCUGAAGAGCUUCUUAACAGUAAUAACUAACACUUAGCUGAUGUAUUUUUUUGACCAAAUAAUACAGUAUCAUACAUUUAGGAAAUGUGUUCUUAAAUAUUUCAAGCAUACUCUCUGAAUAUAUAAUUUAAAAACAAAUACUAACCAAAACACAUGGCACAUUAUUUAAGGAAAUAAAGUAAAAUUAGGCUUCUAAAAUUUUAAAACAUGAAGUAGACUUCCUGAUGCCUAAAAACUGUGAGUAGUCAAUUAAAAAAUGGCCAACUGAUCAGCAGUAUUUAUAAGCAAAAGUAUAUGAAACUCCCUAAGAAACCCAAAGAAUAAAUAUUUAUAUACUGAAAUGUUUACUUAUCCUUUCUAGUACCAAAUCCUAAUACAAUACUAAAAUACAAAGUUGAGCUAAAAGUAUAUGCCAUGAAAUUCAAAAUUAAAAUAAAACUAGAAGGAAAUUAGUACCCAAUUUCAUCAGUUCUUUCAGAAAUCACACAUUGAAUUCCCAGAUGAAUUUGUCCAGUAAAGAUGGUUAGUGAUUACUUAAUGGUAAUCAUUUGGCUAAAAUGUGGUAUCAACACGGGCACUAUGUUAUUAAAAGAAAGAACACAAAAAAGUUUUACUUAAACAAGAUCAAUUUAGCUAGAGAUACUUAUUUUUUUAAAUGCCCUCCUUCAAAUCCCACCUAUAUUCUCAGGAUUGGAAAAUUCUAAGAAAUCUAUGACUUAUUUCUGACUUGCUACUGCCAACAGAAUAAGUGAGCUUCAUCAGUCCAAUUUUACUCUUAUGCGGAGCUAAAUUUUCUUUUGAGAUUUUUAACUUUGGGGAAGAGAAAAGAAACAAUAGUUUUCAGGUGAAUAAAAGCAACAAAAUGAGCCCUUUAGGGCAGAAGCAUACCUUUUGCUCAGUAAAGUACCUGACAAACAGAAGGUGGGCAAAAUAUAUAUAUGUGUAUAUAUAUAUAUAUAUAUUUUUUGAUGAGUGAUCCAGUUAUAAUACUAACAUAUCUUUAGGUUAUUAAUUUUGCCCAAAUGCAAACUCCUUGAAGAUAAUGACCCAUUCAAUCUAUUUACAGUCCUAAGGAAUUUAACCUAGAUCAGUGUUUUGUAGAUUAAUAUAUGGUCAAAUUUAUGACCAUUAUAAUUUGGAUUAUUUGAAUUAUAUAACUGAUAUAUUCUCUAAUCCAAAUUUCUUAAUGUUAUGACGUUUGCAUAAAAAUUAAGCUGGAACAAUUGCAUAGUUCUCUAGAAAUAAAUGGUUACAAUUAAAAAUGUUUGAGGAUAGUUUUAAAACUGAAUAAGAAAAAUACCACUUUGAUUUAAUUUUUAAAAGAUAAUACUGAGAACUGCUUCUGUUAUCUUUAAAAGUAUAUUCCUAAAGAAGGUAAAAAUUAGGGAGAUCUUGUUAAAAUAAUAAGAAUUAGAUAAGUGAAAUAUUUUAAUGUUAGGUAGUAAGAAUCUGGCUAUACAAAACUGAAUUUCUGGUUAACAGCAGUAAACUGGGUUUAUCAUAAUAUGAUAUCUAAAUGAAAAUUUAAUCUUAAUAAAUCUAUAUAUCCUCAGAUAAGAACCACCUCCCCCCCAAAAAAGAAAACAUAGAAUACACCAAAAAUUCUGAGGCAAUGCCCUGAGAUGCUAAUUAGUAUUAAAAAAACAGUGGGGGCUGAGAAUUCAAGAGGUACAAAAAUGAAGUGCACAGAAGAGGUGCAAAAAUGCCUUUUAAAUGUGGUUGUUUCUCACCAUGACCAUUACCCCUAGGAGUCAAGCAGUCUGCUAGUACAAUGUAAAGUUCCUUUCUGUAUUUUUAAAAUGGAAAGUUAUAUUUUGUACGGCAGUGUUGACUCAUAUGGAAAAGAUUUAGUCUUCUUAAAAUCACAUUUAAACACAGUCUUCUCACAUUUCCAGCCAAUUUCAAUAUUAAAAACUUUAACAGGAGUAUCUUAAUUUUCUCUUUUGUUUAAAAGACUCCCAAAAAAAAGUUAUAAUAUGCUAUGCUAUUAUGGUUUGAAAUAUAGCUUCCCAUCACGUGUUUUACUUAUGGUUCAAGUUUUACAUCUAAAAGAUACCACAAUCCAGUUAAAUAUUUUGCAAAUUAUGAAACUAAAAACUUUUGGUUAUUUAUUAAAAAGUUAAGGAACUGAUUUGUUGUAAUAGGGAGGUUAGCUUUCAGUACUGGCAUGUUUGGUAAUCAAAUCUACACUAGAAGCACUGGUAUUCAUUAAGUGCAAAUUUAAAUGCUUGCAAAGUCAUAACUUAGAACAUUAUCAUACUUCGCACUUUACCACAGAUUUAGACAUUAAGCAUUUAUUGUAAGUUAAGUAAGGAAUUGGUUCUGUAAUUCCAACUUUUCUGAAUUUCUAAAUAUAAAUAGUACUUCAAUUUUUCUUCAUUCAUGCUGGAUUAAGAGAUAAAUUAAAUACAAUUAAAUUACAUUUAAUCACCUCACAAAUAAGAGGGAUAUUGAAAAGAGUUUGCUGGUAUGUAACUACUUAAAUCUGAAACAUUUUACAUUACUUUUCCUACUAGGUUCCCUAACUUUACAUUAGUUUUAAGGCUAUAUAUACAAAUAUGUAUAUUUCCAAGUUAGGGAAAACAAACAAAACAAAAUGUAUUAUACUAGCUUUAUACACAAAAUUCUGAUUUUGUAUUUAAUGCUGUAUUUUAAUCUUACAUUUUAGUAGUUUUCUAGUGGGGAAUCUGCUUACUAACUGAUUCAUUUACAUGAUAAUAAAUACAAUAUUCAACCUAGAAAGACAAAAAUACAAAAGGGCACAGAACAGUAGUCUUUUCAAUGUGACAGAUUGUAAAACUUUCACAUGCUUAAUCAGAAAAAUUUAAGCCUAAAUUAAAUUAGGUUUAUAUCUACAAUUCCUUAAGCUUUGAAAUUUAUUUUUAAAGGCCAACAGCUAAAUAUUAUCAACAUGCUAUAUUUCAAAUCACAAAUACAUCUUAACCACUUGGAUUCUAAAGACAUGGGCCAAUUAAAAGUCACAGGCAAACACACACAAACACACACAUACCUACCAUAGAGUGUUAGAUUGUCAAACUUUGACAAUUAUUUAAUUAAACAGUAGGCAAAUUCAAGCUGAUGUACAUCUUAAUGAAAAGUAAGCAGCCUGAAAGAAACUUAUUUUGAAAAACAAAUUAAAGAACAAGAGAGACUUAAAUCUUUUAAGUUUUUCUAAUGGAAGGAAAACAAUUUCAUUGGUGACUGAAACAGUAUUGUCAAAUUAAAAGAGACUAACAUCUUUCCCUUUGAGAACAUCUCAUUUACAAUGGUAUGGUGUUUAAAAGGCCGGGGUAAAAGAGGAAUUACACAUACAUGAUUAAAUUUCUUGUUUGUUAAAUCAAGCUUUAUUGAUAAAAUGGAAUUCAGAAUAUCUUACUAGGAACAGCAGCAGGCCCAGCCAAUCAUGAUAGCAAAAAUGUGGCAGUCUCCUACUAUAUGUAGGAAGCUGCUGCUUAUCAAUUAGUAAUUAAAUGUAAGGACUUGUAAAAGAGGUGCAAAGAAUCAAGGCAUUUUAGCCCCAAGAUUGAUAUUCUUAUGAAUAUACUGUAUUACCUGCAAUACUCAUAGCAACAAGGAGAGAACAUCCUGAAACACAGUAAAAUAAAGAGAGUGGCUUUAUCAACAAUGCCAAUCCCUUGCCAAGAACAUUAAGAUAGUUUUCCAUCACUCCUGGGAUAUUCAGCUUUGUAAGAUUUUGAAAUUCUUCUCCAUAAUCAUGUGCAUGUUUGAGCACCUAGCUGACAUGGCUGCUGCUCUCCCUGUCCCAACCCCAAAUCCAAAUAUAACAUGACUUGAAAGGGCUAUAUAUCUGUUGCAUCACACAACAAGCCAACAUUUCUUGUAUCUUCGAUAGUGAUUUUAAAGCAGUUCAUAAUUAAAUAUGAGCAUUUUGUACAAGGACAAUUACACUUUACAAAAAAAAAAUCAUACAACAAAAAUUGCUGGAGUCUGAUUUACAACAUGAAUUAUGGUUUGAAAUCACGUUUACAUAAGUCUCAAAUUUACAAAAAAAAAAA
This is a non-coding RNA of Ictidomys tridecemlineatus (thirteen-lined ground squirrel), 9997 nucleotides long. The record is from RefSeq and is a predicted model, not a curated record. NCBI's taxonomy places the organism in Eukaryota, Metazoa, Chordata, Mammalia, Rodentia, Sciuridae.